GAGCCCGUGGCUCAAUGGUAGAGCGUUCGACUGAAAUACCAAAGGUCUCGGGUUCGAAUCCUAGGUGUUCC
This 71-nucleotide transfer RNA is filed under the name Schistocephalus solidus. The stretch from base 1 to 56 matches the Rfam family "tRNA". Rfam says of the family: Transfer RNA (tRNA) molecules are approximately 80 nucleotides in length. Their secondary structure includes four short double-helical elements and three loops (D, anti-codon, and T loops). Further hydrogen bonds mediate the characteristic L-shaped molecular structure. tRNAs have two regions of fundamental functional importance: the anti-codon, which is responsible for specific mRNA codon recognition, and the 3' end, to which the tRNAs corresponding amino acid is attached (by aminoacyl-tRNA synthetases). tRNAs cope with the degeneracy of the genetic code in two manners: having more than one tRNA (with a specific anti-codon) for a particular amino acid; and 'wobble' base-pairing, i.e. permitting non-standard base-pairing at the 3rd anti-codon position. The record is from Rfam by way of RNAcentral. Lineage: Eukaryota; Metazoa; Platyhelminthes; Cestoda; Diphyllobothriidea; Diphyllobothriidae.